Molecule: ribosomal RNA, 296 nt
Filed under: uncultured marine eukaryote
Lineage: Eukaryota
Description: partial 18S ribosomal RNA
Rfam family: Eukaryotic small subunit ribosomal RNA
Source: RNAcentral
CUACCUGUUUUUUGUCGGGGACUACGCCACUCUUAACUGGGGGGCGCUAGGACGCGGCUCGUUUACUUUGAAAAAAUUAGAGUGUUCAAAGCAGGCCUUUGCUUGAAUACAUUAGCAUGGAAUAAUGGAAUAGGACUUUGGUUCUAUUUUGUUGGUUUCUGGAACCGAAGUAAUGAUUAAUAGGGAUAGUUGGGGGCGUUUAUAUUUCCAUGUCAGAGGUGAAAUUCUUGGAUUUUGGAAAGAUAAACUUCUGCGAAAGCWUUCGCCAAGGAUGUUUUCAUUAAUCAAGAACGAAA